Molecule: non-coding RNA, 76 nt
Organism: Ameiurus melas (black bullhead)
Lineage: Eukaryota; Metazoa; Chordata; Actinopteri; Siluriformes; Ictaluridae
Source: the annotation of a GenBank genome assembly
GGCCGCACGGUGGCUUAGUGGUUAGCACGGUUGGCUCACACUACCAGGAUCGGGGGUUCGAUUCCUGCUGCAGCCC